GAUGAACGCUGGCGGCGUGCCUAAUACAUGCAAGUCGAGCGAACAGAUGAGGAGCUUGCUCCUCUGACGUUAGCGGCGGACGGGUGAGUAACACGUGGAUAACCUACCUAUAAGACUGGGAUAACUUCGGGAAACCGGAGCUAAUACCGGAUAAUAUAUUGAACCGCAUGGUUCAAUAGUGAAAGACGGUUUUGCUGUCACUUAUAGAUGGAUCCGCGCCGCAUUAGCUAGUUGGUAAGGUAACGGCUUACCAAGGCAACGAUGCGUAGCCGACCUGAGAGGGUGAUCGGCCACACUGGAACUGAGACACGGUCCAGACUCCUACGGGAGGCAGCAGUAGGGAAUCUGCCGCAAAGGGCGAAAGCCUGACGGAGCAACGCCGCGUGAGUGAUGAAGGUCUUCGGAUCGUAAAACUCUGUUAUUAGGGAAGAACAAAUGUGUAAGUAACUAUGCACGUCUUGACGGUACCUAAUCAGAAAGCCACGGCUAACUACGUG
RNAcentral lists this ribosomal RNA (497 nucleotides) under uncultured bacterium. RNAcentral describes it as "partial 16S ribosomal RNA". It matches the Rfam family "Bacterial small subunit ribosomal RNA", at positions 28 to 507 of the family's 1533-position model. The record is from RNAcentral.